RNAcentral lists this ribosomal RNA (1384 nucleotides) under Trypanosyllis estebani. RNAcentral describes it as "SSU rRNA". It matches the Rfam family "Eukaryotic small subunit ribosomal RNA", at positions 445 to 1765 of the family's 1831-position model. The record is from RNAcentral. Lineage: Eukaryota; Metazoa; Annelida; Polychaeta; Phyllodocida; Syllidae.
CCACUCUCGACUCGAGGAGGUAGUGAAGAGAAAUAACGUGACGCUAACCCCAAGAGGCUGCGUUGGGGAAUGAGACCCGUUUAAAGCCUUGUCUGAUGACCCAGUAGAGGGCAAGUCUGGUGCCAGCAGCCGCGGUAAUUCCAGCUCUAUAAGCAUAUGCGGGAGUUGCUGCAGUUAAAAAGCUCGUAGUUGGAGGUCGACUGGGCGGCGGUGGGUGCGGGUCAGAGCUAUCCGUCUAUCCCCGUCGCUGGUCUGGGGCCCAGGCGGGUGAAUCCCCUUGGAUGGGCGUGCGCCCGUUGGCCCACAUUACUUUGAAAAAAUUAGGGUGUUUCAGGCAGGCUGAAUAUGGGCUUGGAUAGUCUAACAUGGAAUAACAGUUAAUUGAACUCCGGUUCCCUUCUCUGCUGGUCUACGGAACUUGCGAGCCAUGGCUAAGAGGGACAGACGGGGGCGGAAGUACUACGGCGUGAGAGGUGANAUUCCAGGNCCGCCGUAAGACUAACGAACGCGAAAGCAUUCGCCCAGAAUGUUUUCAUUAGUCAAGAACGAAAGUUGGUGUAGCGAAGAGGAUCAGAUACCCUCCUAGUACUGACCGUAAACGAUGCCAACAGGAGGCCGGCGGAAGUAACUUGCAUUGUGGGACUUGGCACCGUCGGAACCCCGCGGGAAACCCGAGUGUUUGGGUUCUGGGGGUAGUAUGGUUGCAAAGCUGAAACUUAAAGGUAUUGACGGAAGGGCACCACAAGGAGUGGAGCUUGCGGCUUAAUUUGACUCAACGCGGGGCAACUCACCCGGUCCGGACACCGCGGGGAUUGACAGAUUGAUAGCUCUUUUCUUGAUUCGGUGGGUGGUGGUGCAUGGCCGUUCUUAGUACGUGGUGCAAACUGUCAGGUUAAAUCCGCUAACGUACGCGACUCUAGCCUAUUUACUAGAGCUGGACGAUGAUAAUAAGUCGCCGAUGCGAGGAACUUCUUAGGGGGAUCCAUUGCGUGGGAGAAGCGGAUGAAAUAGAGCAAUAACAGGUCUGUGAUGCCCUUAGAUGUUCGGGGCCGCACGCGCGCUACACUGAAAAGGAAAGAGGGUGUCCAUGAAUGAGCCGGGCGCGCGAGCCGCCUUAGAGAAAUCUUAGAAACCUUAUCGUGCUAGGGAUUAGGGUUUGGAACUGUUGCCUAUCAACGAGGAAUUCCAAGUAAGUGCGAGUGACUAGCUUGCGUUGAUCAAGUCCCUGCCCUUUGUACACACCGCCCGUCGCUACCACUGAGCUAGCGGCUUAGCAAGGGCGUCGAGACGCGUCCUGGGGGCUUUUGGCGUGUACGGUGUGUCGGCUUCGGUCGGCCGCCGGCCACUUUUCCGGCCUCAGGUGGGCGUGAAAGGCGUUCAAACU